This 320-nucleotide ribosomal RNA is filed under the name uncultured eukaryote. Its description in RNAcentral is "partial 18S ribosomal RNA". It matches the Rfam family "Eukaryotic small subunit ribosomal RNA", at positions 1470 to 1796 of the family's 1831-position model. The record is from RNAcentral.
CCCCUAGAUGUUCUGGGCCGCACGCGCGCUACACUGAACAGUUCAACAAGUCUUAACCUUGGCCGAUAGGUCUGGGUAAUCUUUGAACGCUGUUCGUGAUUGGGAUAGACCUUUGCAAUUAUGGGUCUUCAACGAGGAAUUCCUAGUAAACGCAAGUCAUCAGCUUGCAUUGAUUACGUCCCUGCCCUUUGUACACACCGCCCGUCGCUCCUACCGAUUGAAUGGUCCGGUGAAAUCUCGGGACGGCGGCUUGGUCGCUUGCGUCCGACUGCUGAAACUUGAUUAAACCAUAUCAUUUAGAGGAAGGUGAAGUCGUAACA